AACGCUGGCGGCGUGCCUAAUACAUGCAAGUCGAGCGAGCAGAACCAGCAGAUUUACUUCGGUAAUGACGCUGGGGACGCGAGCGGCGGAUGGGUGAGUAACACGUGGGGAACCUGCCCCAUAGUCUGGGAUACCACUUGGAAACAGGUGCUAAUACCGGAUAAGAAAGCAGAUCGCAUGAUCAGCUUAUAAAAGGCGGCGUAAGCUGUCGCUAUGGGAUGGCCCCGCGGUGCAUUAGCUAGUUGGUAAGGUAACGGCUUACCAAGGCAAUGAUGCAUAGCCGAGUUGAGAGACUGAUCGGCCACAUUGGGACUGAGACACGGCCCAAACUCCUACGGGAGGCAGCAGUAGGGAAUCUUCCACAAUGGACGCAAGUCUGAUGGAGCAACGCCGCGUGAGUGAAGAAGGUUUUCGGAUCGUAAAGCUCUGUUGUUGGUGAAGAAGGAUAGAGGUAGUAACUGGCCUUUAUUUGACGGUAAUCAACCAGAAAGUCACGGCUAACUACGUGCCAGCAGCCGCGGUAAUACGUAGGUGGCAAGCGUUGUCCGGAUUUAUUGGGCGUAAAGCGAGCGCAGGCGGAAGAAUAAGUCUGAUGUGAAAGCCCUCGGCUUAACCGAGGAACUGCAUCGGAAACUGUUUUUCUUGAGUGCAGAAGAGGAGAGUGGAAUUC
RNAcentral lists this ribosomal RNA (670 nucleotides) under uncultured Lactobacillus sp. RNAcentral's name for it is "bacterial SSU rRNA". It matches the Rfam family "Bacterial small subunit ribosomal RNA", at positions 32 to 669 of the family's 1533-position model. The record is from RNAcentral. Lineage: Bacteria; Bacillati; Bacillota; Bacilli; Lactobacillales; Lactobacillaceae.